AUGAGUAAAGCAUAUGACAGAGUAGAAUGGCCUUUUCUUGAGAAAAUUAUGCGAAAAUUGGGAUUCGCUGCAGCAUGGGUUGAUUUAAUCAUGAAAUGUGUUUCCACAGUCAGCUAUAGAGUGAAGAUAAAUGGAGAGUAUUCAGAACAAUUCAGGCCUCAACGGGGUUUGCGUCAAGGUGAUCCCCUAUCACCAUACCUAUUUAUUUUAUGUGCCGAGGGUCUGUCAGCUCUUCUCAAGCAAGCUGAAGAAAGAAGGGAGAUACAAGGCAUCCGAGUAUGCCCUGGGGCUAUUUGUGUGAGCCACCUUUUCUUUGCCGAUGAUACAUUGGUCUUGCUAAAAGCUACAAAAUCAGGAGCCCAAAGCUUACAAAGGAUUCUACAGCUUUAUGAGGAAGUCUCGGGUCAGAUGAUAAAUAAGGAUAAGACGACAGUUAUGUUCAGCCCCAAUACAACUGAGGAGAUUAAGAAGCAAGUACUGACAGAACUAAAUAUUACGAAGCUCGCUAGUAAUGAAAAAUAUUUGGGCCUGCCAGUUUAUGUUGGGAAAUCGAAGAAACGUAUGUUUGAAUACAUUAAACAAAAAGUGUGGACACGAAUUCAAGGCUGGCAAGAGAAGCUGCUUUCCAAGGCUGGUAAAGAAAUCAUGAUAAAAGCAGUUGCUCAAGCCAUUCCUACAUAUGCUAUGUCCUGCUUCGAACUGACAAAAGAGCUAUGUGAGGAGAUUUCUUCCAUCAUCGGGAGGUAUUGGUGGAGUCAGCAAGAUAAGAUGAAUAAAAUCCAUUGGGUCUCUUGGGAGAAAGUGACCAGAUCGAAAAGCAAGGGUGGCAUGGGAUUUCGGGAUCUGUACACAUUUAACAUUGCUAUGUUGGCUAGGCAGGCUUGGAGAAUCCUUGUGUUUCCAGAUACCUUAUGUGCACAAGUACUGAAGGCCAAGUACUUUUCAGAUAAAUCUAUCCUUAAGGCAACUGCUAAAAAAGGCAUUUCAUAUACAUGGAGGAGCAUUCUUAAAGGGGUGCAGUUGCUGAAGGAAGGUCUAAUCUGGAGGAUUGGAAAUGGUGAUACAGUGGAUAUUUGGAAAGAUCCGUGGAUACCAAGGAAUUUCACAAGAAGGGUCAUUACACCUCGAAGGGGAUCCAUCCUUCAGAAGGUUGCUGAUCUCAUUAAUCCUAUCACUGGAUCGUGGGAUGAGCAGCUAAUUACAGAAACAUUUUGGGAGGAAGACGCUAAAUUUAUUUUAUCGAUUCCACUAUUCGAAGAUACGGAGGAUUUUCCAGCCUGUCAUCCUGAUCCCAAGGGGCUUUUUUCGGUGAAAAUCGGCCUAUUCUUUAGGCAUCAAAAUCAGGGAUCAAGUAAAUGGGGCCGAUGCAUCACCCUCUUCUGA
Molecule: ribosomal RNA, 1383 nt
Filed under: Triticum aestivum (bread wheat)
Lineage: Eukaryota; Viridiplantae; Streptophyta; Magnoliopsida; Poales; Poaceae
Description: partial small subunit ribosomal RNA
Source: RNAcentral